This 286-nucleotide ribosomal RNA is filed under the name uncultured bacterium. RNAcentral describes it as "partial 16S ribosomal RNA". It matches the Rfam family "Bacterial small subunit ribosomal RNA", at positions 773 to 1060 of the family's 1533-position model. The record is from RNAcentral.
GUGGAUUAGAUACCCUGGUAGUCCGCACCGUAAACGAUGUACACUAGGUGUAGGGGCAUGAGUCUCUGUGCCAAAGCUAACGUGAUAAGUGUACCGCCUGGGAAGUAUGCCCGCAAGGGUGAAACUCAAAGGAAUUGACGGGGGCCCGCACAAGCGGUGGAGCAUGUGGUUUAAUUCGAUGGUACGCGAGGAACCUUACCUGGGUUUGACAUCAAGUGGAAUGGUGUAGAGAUACAUCAGCGUAGCAAUACGCCGCUUGACAGGUGCUGCACGGCCGUCGUCAACU